CAUCGCUUUCCGCUUGCUCAAGAGUCCGGUAAGGCCGCCGUGCAGCCUCGCUCCUUCUUCUCCCCUCCAACCUUUUCCCCCUGUUCUGCAAGCCCUUUCCGUCUCCUUCUGGCUGCUUCCUCGCGCAGGUGCUAUUUCUGAGCUUCCGAGGCGACAGAGCUGCACAAGAGCAGAGCAGAGCAUAGGGAGAGAGAGAGAGAGAGAGAGAGAGAGAGAUGAGGGAGAUCAUAAGCAUCCACAUCGGGCAGGCGGGCAUCCAGGUGGGGAAUUCCUGCUGGGAGCUCUACUGCCUCGAGCAUGGCAUCCAGCCCGACGGCCUCAUGCCCAGUGACACCUCGGUUGGGGUUGCCAAGGAUGCAUUCAACACGUUCUUCAGCGAAACGGGUUCAGGGAAGCACGUUCCGAGGGCCUUGUUCGUUGAUCUGGAGCCCACGGUCAUCGACGAGGUGAGGACGGGGGCAUAUCGCCAGCUCUUCCAUCCAGAGCAGCUCAUCUCCCACAAUGAAGAUGCUGCUAACAACUUUGCCCGCGGACACUACACAGUUGGAAGAGAAGUAGUGGACCUUUGCCUUGACCGGAUCAGAAAAUUGGCGGACAACUGCACUGGUCUCCAAGGCUUCUUGGUUUUCAAUGCUGUCGGUGGUGGAACUGGCUCAGGGCUUGGUUCAUUGCUUCUGGAGCGCCUAUCGGUCGACUAUGGCAGGAAAUCGAAGCUCGGUUUCACCAUCUAUCCUUCACCACAGAUUUCGACGGCCGUUGUGGAGCCUUACAACAGCGUGCUGUCGACCCACUCGCUGAUCGAGCACACCGACGUGGUGGUGCUCCUGGACAACGAGGCCAUCUACGACAUCUGCAAGAGGUCCCUGGACAUCGAGCGCCCGACCUACACCAACCUGAACCGGCUGAUAUCCCAGGUGAUAUCGUCGCUGACCACCUCGCUGCGGUUCGACGGCGCCAUCAACGUGGACAUAACCGAGUUCCAGACCAACCUGGUGCCGUACCCGCGGAUCCACUUCAUGCUCUCCUCCUACGCGCCCAUCAUCUCCGCGGAGAAGGCCUUCCACGAGCAGCACUCCGUCCCCGAGAUCACCAACUCCGUGUUCGAGCCGUCGAGCGUCAUGGCCAAGUGCGACCCCCGGCACGGCAAGUACAUGGCCUGCUGCCUCAUGUACCGCGGCGACGUCGUGCCCAAGGACGUCAACUCCGCCGUCCACUCCAUCAAGACCAAGAGGACCGUGCAGUUCGUCGACUGGUGUCCGACUGGGUUCAAGUGCGGGAUAAACUACCAGCCGCCGACGGUGGUUCCGGGAGGGGACCUGGCCAAGGUGCGGCGGGCGGUGUGCAUGAUCAGCAACAACACGGCCGUGGCCGAGGUCUUCUCGCGCAUCGACCGCAAGUUCGACCUCAUGUACGCCAAGCGCGCGUUCGUGCACUGGUACGUCGGGGAAGGGAUGGAGGAGGGGGAGUUCUCGGAGGCCAGGGAGGACCUGGCCGCGCUGGAGAAGGACUACGAGGAGGUCGGAGCUGAGGGUGAAGACGACGAGGACGAAGGCGAUGAGUACUGAGUGGAUCAAGUGUGCGCUCUUAUUUGGUGGCAGUGUUGUGCACUUCAUGCGGUUUGUUCUUCUCUGUCCCUGUUUUGCUGUUGCAUCUGUGAUGUUCGGUGGUUAGCAGAGUACAAAAAUUGUCAAAUUGGUUCGUGUGCUCAGACGGUUCGGUGCCAUCAGAAUUUGCCAAGUGGAGGUUUACGUAAAACUCAACGUAAGUCUACGUAUGUGUAGUGUUGCUCGUCUGUGAGGAAGGUGGUAUCGAUACAUCAUAAUAAUGAACGAAGAGUUUUUG
Molecule: ribosomal RNA, 1842 nt
Filed under: Triticum aestivum (bread wheat)
Lineage: Eukaryota; Viridiplantae; Streptophyta; Magnoliopsida; Poales; Poaceae
Description: partial small subunit ribosomal RNA
Source: RNAcentral